UAGGGAAUCUUCCGCAAUGGGCGAAAGCCUGACGGAGCAACGCCGCGUGAGUGAUGAAGGUCUUCAGAUCGUAAAACUCUGUUAUUAGGGAAGAACAUACGUGUAAGUAACUAUGCACGUCUUGACGGUACCUAAUCAGAAAGCCACGGCUAACUACGUGCCAGCAGCCGCGGUAAUACGUAGGUGGCAAGCGUUAUCCGGAAUUAUUGGGCGUAAAGCGCGCGUAGGCGGUUUUUUAAGUCUGAUGUGAAAGCCCACGGCUCAACCGUGGAGGGUCAUUGGAAACUGGAAAACUUGAGUGCAGAAGAGGAAAGUGGAAUUCCAUGUGUAGCGGUGAAAUGCGCAGAGAUAUGGAGGAACACCAGUGGCGAAGGCGACUUUCUGGUCUGUAACUGACGCUGAUGUGCGAAAGCGUGGGGAUCAAACA
Molecule: ribosomal RNA, 427 nt
Filed under: uncultured bacterium
Lineage: Bacteria
Description: partial 16S ribosomal RNA
Rfam family: Bacterial small subunit ribosomal RNA
Source: RNAcentral